CCAACUACCCGAAGCCCAAAUUAAAAUGGCCCAGGACCCAAUCACCAGUCAAACUAGGGUUUCAGUUUUCUGAAACCCUAGCUUACCUGCCCUCAGCGCCGCUACCACCACCCACCGCCACCAACUCCAUCAACACCUGCAAAAAUGACAGAAAAGAAAGCAGGAACACGCAACAGAUAGUUCAAAACAGCAAAUACAACCAAAAAUGCAUUGUAAAUUGGCUAUAAAAGCCAAACACUAUCUCUGUAAAUUUUUU
RNAcentral lists this long non-coding RNA (256 nucleotides) under Gossypium raimondii (Peruvian cotton). Its description in RNAcentral is "long non-coding RNA (GRAI_LNC003579)". Lineage: Eukaryota; Viridiplantae; Streptophyta; Magnoliopsida; Malvales; Malvaceae. The record is from RNAcentral.